UACGUAGGGUGCAAGCGUUGCCCGGAUUUAUUGGGCGUAAAGGGCACGUAGGCGGCCGAGCAAGUCAUGCGUGAAAUCUCCCGGCUCAACUGGGAGGGGUCGUGUGAUACUGCUUGGCUUGAGCAAGGUAGGGGGCAGUGGAAUUCCCGGUGUAGUGGUGGAAUGCGUAGAUAUUCGGAAGAACACCAGUGGCGAAGGCGGCUCACUGGACUGGUAUUGACGCUGAGGUGCGAAAGCGUGGGGAGCAAACAGG
This 253-nucleotide ribosomal RNA is filed under the name uncultured bacterium. Its description in RNAcentral is "partial 16S ribosomal RNA". It matches the Rfam family "Bacterial small subunit ribosomal RNA", at positions 524 to 776 of the family's 1533-position model. The record is from RNAcentral.